AUACGGAGGGGGCAAGCGUUAUUCGGAAUUACUGGGCGUAAAGGGCGCGCAGGCGGUUUGGUCAGUGAGAAGUGAAAGCCCUCGGCUUAACUGAGGAACAGCUUCUCAUACUGCCAGACUAGAGAGUGGGAGAGGGAGACGGAAUUCCCGGUGUAGCGGUGAAAUGCAUAGAUACCAUAAAGAACACCAAUAGCGAAGGCAGCUUACUAGACUGUAACUGACGCUGAGGCACGAAAGCGUGGGUAGCGAACAGGAUUAGAAACCCCAGUAGUCC
Molecule: ribosomal RNA, 274 nt
Filed under: uncultured bacterium
Lineage: Bacteria
Description: partial 16S ribosomal RNA
Rfam family: Bacterial small subunit ribosomal RNA
Source: RNAcentral